RNAcentral lists this ribosomal RNA (465 nucleotides) under Vreelandella stevensii. RNAcentral's name for it is "partial 16S ribosomal RNA". It matches the Rfam family "Bacterial small subunit ribosomal RNA", at positions 338 to 795 of the family's 1533-position model. The record is from RNAcentral. Lineage: Bacteria; Pseudomonadati; Pseudomonadota; Gammaproteobacteria; Oceanospirillales; Halomonadaceae.
CCUACGGGUGGCUGCAGUGGGGAAUAUUGGACAAUGGGCGAAAGCCUGAUCCAGCCAUGCCGCGUGUGUGAAGAAGGCCUUCGGGUUGUAAAGCACUUUCAGUGGGGAAGAAAGCCUUGGGGCUAAUACCCUCGAGGAAGGACAUCACCCACAGAAGAAGCACCGGCUAACUCCGUGCCAGCAGCCGCGGUAAUACGGAGGGUGCGAGCGUUAAUCGGAAUUACUGGGCGUAAAGCGCGCGUAGGCGGUCUGAUAAGCCGGUUGUGAAAGCCCCGGGCUCAACCUGGGAACGGCAUCCGGAACUGUCAGGCUAGAGUGCAGGAGAGGAAGGUAGAAUUCCCGGUGUAGCGGUGAAAUGCGUAGAGAUCGGGAGGAAUACCAGUGGCGAAGGCGGCCUUCUGGACUGACACUGACGCUGAGGUGCGAAAGCGUGGGUAGCAAACAGGAUUAGAUACCCGGGUAGUC